RNAcentral lists this ribosomal RNA (563 nucleotides) under uncultured archaeon. RNAcentral's name for it is "bacterial SSU rRNA". It matches the Rfam family "Archaeal small subunit ribosomal RNA", at positions 326 to 897 of the family's 1478-position model. The record is from RNAcentral.
CGGGGUGCACCAGGCGCGAAAACUUUGCAAUGCGGGAAACCGUGACAAGGGAACUCUGAGUGCCCGUAAAAUCGGGCUGUCCAUCGGUUUAAAAAACCGGUGAAGAAAGGGCCGGGCAAGACCGGUGCCAGCCGCCGCGGUAAUACCGGCGGCUCGAGUGGUGGCCACUAUUACUGGGCUUAAAGCGUUCGUAGCUGGUUUGUUAAGUCUCUGGGGAAAUCUUCCGGCUUAACCGGAAGGCGUCUCAGGGAUACUGGCAGACUAGGGACCGGGAGAGGUGAGAGGUACUCCAGGGGUAGGAGUGAAAUCCUGUAAUCCUUGGGGGACCACCUGUGGCGAAGGCGUCUCACCAGAACGGCUCCGACAGUGAGGGACGAAAGCUGGGGGAGCAAACCGGAUUAGAUACCCGGGUAGUCCCAGCUGUAAACGAUGCGCGUUAGGUGUAUCAGCGACCACGAGUCGCUGAGGUGCCGAAGAGAAAUCGUGAAACGUGCCGCCUGGGAAGUACGGUCGCAAGGCUGAAACUUAAAGGAAUUGGCGGGGGAGCACAAGGGCGAUUCGCG